GUAUCAGAAGUGCGAAUGCUGACGUGAGUAACGACAAAACGGGUGAAAAACCCGUUCGCCGAAAGACCAAGGGUUCCAGUCCAACGUUAAUCGGGGCUGGGUGAGUCGACCCCUAAGGCGAGGCCGAAAGGCGUAGUCGAUGGGAAAAUGGUUAAUAUUCCAUUACUUCUGUGUAAUGCGAUGAGAGGACGGAGAAGGCUAAAUCAGCCUGGCGUUGGUUGUCCAGGUGAAAGGAUGUAGGCAUGUAUCUUAGGCAAAUCCGGGGUACUCUAUGCUGAGAUCUGAUAGCAAGCUGUACUUGUACAGCGAAGUGGUUGAUGCCAUGCUUCCAGGAAAAGUCUCUAAGCUUCAGUUACACAGGAAUCGUACCCGAAACCGACACAGGUGGUCAGGUCGAGUAGACCAAGGCGCUUGAGAGAACUCUGCUGAAGGAACUAGGCAAAAUGGUACCGUAACUUCGGGAGAAGGUACGCUGUUGUUGGUGAUGGAACUCGCUUCCUGAGCUGACGACAGCCGCAGAAACCAGGCCGCUGCAACUGUUUAUUAAAAACAUAGCACUCUGCAAACACGAAAGUGGACGUAUAGGGUGUGAUGCCUGCCCGGUGCUGGAAGGUUAAUUGAUGGGGUUAGCGUAAGCGAAGCUCUUGAUCGAAGCCCCAGUAAACGGCGGCCGUAACUAUAACGGUCCUAAGGUAGCGAAAUUCCUUGUCGGGUAAGUUCCGACCUGCACGAAUGGCAUAAUGAUGGCGGCGCUGUCUCCAGCAGAGGCUCAGUGAAAUCGAAAUCGCUGUGAAGAUGCAGUGUACCCGCGGCUAGACGGAAAGACCCCGUGAACCUUUACUGCAGCUUGACACUGAACUUUGACCUUACUUGUGUAGGAUAGGUGGGAGGCUUUGAAGCUGGAACGCUAGUUCCAGUGGAGCCGUCCUUGAAAUACCACCCUGGUAAUGUUGAGGUUCUAACUCUGUCCCGUGAUCCGGGACGAGGACCGUGUCUGGUGGGUAGUUUGACUGGGGCGGUCUCCUCCUAAAGAGUAACGGAGGAGUACGAAGGUGCGCUCAGCGUGGUCGGAAAUCACGCGUAGAGUAUAAAGGCAAAAGCGCGCUUAACUGCGAGACCCACAAGUCGAGCAGGUACGAAAGUAGGUCUUAGUGAUCCGGUGGUUCUGUAUGGAAGGGCCAUCGCUCAACGGAUAAAAGGUACUCUGGGGAUAACAGGCUGAUACCGCCCAAGAGUUCAUAUCGACGGCGGUGUUUGGCACCUCGAUGUCGGCUCAUCUCAUCCUGGGGCUGAAGCAGGUCCCAAGGGUAUGGCUGUUCGCCAUUUAAAGAGGUACGCGAGCUGGGUUUAGAACGUCGUGAGACAGUUCGGUCCCUAUCUACCGUGGGCGCUGGAAAUUUGAGAGGAUCUGCUCCUAGUACGAGAGGACCAGAGUGGACGAACCUCUGGUGUACCGGUUGUGACGCCAGUCGCAUCGCCGGGUAGCUAUGUUCGGAAGGGAUAACCGCUGAAAGCAUCUAAGCGGGAAGCCUACCUCAAGAUAAGAUUUCCCUAGGACUUUAUGUCCUCUAAAGAGCCGUUCGAGACUAGGACGUUGAUAGGUUGGAUGUGGAAGCAUAGUGAUAUGUGAAGCUGACCAAUACUAAUUGCUCGUGAGGCUUGACUA
RNAcentral lists this ribosomal RNA (1666 nucleotides) under Acinetobacter baumannii 1146103. RNAcentral's name for it is "bacterial LSU rRNA". It matches the Rfam family "Bacterial large subunit ribosomal RNA", at positions 1279 to 2925 of the family's 2925-position model. Lineage: Bacteria; Pseudomonadati; Pseudomonadota; Gammaproteobacteria; Moraxellales; Moraxellaceae. The record is from RNAcentral.